RNAcentral lists this ribosomal RNA (250 nucleotides) under uncultured prokaryote. RNAcentral describes it as "partial 16S ribosomal RNA". It matches the Rfam family "Bacterial small subunit ribosomal RNA", at positions 524 to 773 of the family's 1533-position model. The record is from RNAcentral.
UACGUAGGGAGCGAGCGUUGUCCGGAAUUACUGGGUGUAAAGGGUGCGUAGGCGGCAAGAAAAGUCAGAUGUGAAAUACCUGGGCUUAACCCGGGAGCUGCAUUUGAAACUUUCCUGCUUGAGUGAAGUAGAGGCAAGCGGAAUUCCCUGUGUAGCGGUGAAAUGCGUAGAGAUAGGGAGGAACACCAGUGGCGAAGGCGGCUUGCUGGGCUUCAACUGACGCUGAGGCACGAAAGCGUGGGUAGCAAAC